AUACCAAGUCCAAAUCGAUUCUUAGAAACAUCCUUUGGAUUAUUUCCGUUAGUAUGAUAUGCAUUUUGAACAUCUUGGCAUCGCCAUUCUUUUUUCAGGUUCUGACAAGCACAACGAACAGUAACCUUCAAACAUAGUAACAUACAUGAACAUUUGUUAGCAACUAUAAAAAAACAUAGAAAAAAAAACAGGACAGAUCAUGUGAUUAAAUUGAAACAGGAUGUAUUACCUAUUAGAAUAAAAUGCAUUACCUUUUUAUUACAAGUAUCAAUUGAUGGGCAUUGACCAGGAUGGCAUAUCUCUGGGCAAAGAUGAGGACAAUUCAGCAACUUUCUGAAGUUUACAAAGCACAAGAAAUUCAUAAGUAAUGUAAUAAUAAAAGUGGGACCGAAAUGAUAUGAUACAAUAUAAAAAUAGAUAAAGGAACCAAGAAAAUUAUGUCAUCCUGUUAAAGCAUAUAUAAUCAUGAUAUAAAUAUAUAAUGUGUGUGAAUGUUGUUGAUUAUAUGUUAUCUUAUUUCCAGGUGUACAAGUCAAUGAUACGGACGCUUCAUGGCCAGUUCUUAAUCGAUACAUUAGCUUUAUAGUUAGUGGGCUGAGUCCAGUAAGAGCUUGUAACAUUUAGUAUAUAAAUUAAAUCCUGGAAAUAAUAAAUCAAUCGAAUCAUUUGAGGAUUUUUCCGCGAUUUCCUUUCUCUUUUCGAUGUUCACCAUCGACUGUCUCAAUCGCUGGUCGGAAUCUUAUCUGUGACAUGAC
Molecule: long non-coding RNA, 755 nt
Filed under: Zostera marina
Lineage: Eukaryota; Viridiplantae; Streptophyta; Magnoliopsida; Alismatales; Zosteraceae
Description: long non-coding RNA (ZMAR_LNC002791)
Source: RNAcentral